GAUCAUGGCUCAGGAUGAACGCUAGCUACAGGCUUAACACAUGCAAGUCGAGGGGCAGCAUGACGGAAGCUUGCUUUCGUUGAUGGCGACCGGCGCACAGGUGAGUAACGCGUAUCCAACCUGCCCUUGUCCAUCGGAUAACCCGUCGAAAGGCGGACUAACACGAUAUGCAGUUCUCAGCAGGCAUCUAACGAGAACGAAAUGUGAAGGGAGAAGGAUGGGGG
This 224-nucleotide ribosomal RNA is filed under the name uncultured bacterium. RNAcentral describes it as "partial 16S ribosomal RNA". It matches the Rfam family "Bacterial small subunit ribosomal RNA", at positions 15 to 231 of the family's 1533-position model. The record is from RNAcentral.